AUGGGGAUUUUACUGCUCCUGCUGAGCCUCAUCCUACCGGGACACACCCAGAGGUCACCCUGUAACUGUGAUGGGCUGAGAGGGGAGAAGGGGGGCGCAGGAGCCCCAGGCUACCAUGGACUACCGGGGAUGAUUGGUUACCCUGGCAACGAAGGCCCCCCAGGGCCCUCUGGAGCCAAGGUGAGGGGUUUUAUUAUAUAUUAUAAUAUUAUAUUUUGAUUAGAAUAUCGAUGUUCUUUUUUUUUUUUAAAUAGUCACACAGUGUAACUUUAAAAUGCUUUCAGGGUCACCAAGGUCUUGUUGGAAGCUCAGGACCAAAAGGCUCCAGGGUAAGAUGUCUCUCUUUAUCUCUUUAUAUAUUAAUAUAUAGAGAUAUAUAGAGAGAUAAAGAUGUAUAUCUUUCUAUGCAUCCUUAUUAACACUUUAAUUCAUUGGACUUGGAGUAUGUUUGCAGGGGCUCCAACCUAUGAUUAACCAUAAGAACCAAGCAUGUUUUCCUCCCAUGUCCUGCAGGGUCUUCCUGGAAAACCAGGAUUCCCUGGUACUCCAGCUCAGCCAGUGAGAAGCACACAAACACACAUGCACAACACACACACAAUCAUUUUCAAAAUUAUAUAUUUUUAAAAUAAUUUAAAAAAUCUAUCUAUAUUAAUCACAUCAGUUUGGUGGUGUAGAAGGACACUAACAGCUAAACUGGGUGGUUUAGAAGGACACUAUCCCUGCAGCUGGUUUGUGUAGAAGUACACCACCUCAACCUGAUGUUGAAAGUAUUGUAUGGAUACAGUGAAUACCUGAGUUAAAAUACAGCAGAUAUAGUAAACAUAUUUGUAUCAUUCCCUAGGGAAUACCUGGCAGUGAAGGACCUAUCGGCCAGCCAGGACUCCCAGGAUGCAAUGGGACAAAGGUGAACCUGGUCUAAAUAUAAUCUAAAUGUAAUGAAUGGUCAAUCAGGUAAUGAAUGCAUAUUGAGAAGUUUCUUUGUCUUUUUAGGGAGGAGAGGGGUAUCUGGGGCUGCCUGGUGUUCCAGGUCCGGUUGGGUUACCAGUAAGUUAUCACAUUUAGUAACAACACCUACAAACCUAAAUUUAUUAUGAUCACAUUUAGUAGCGACAUCUACAAACCUUAAUAUGUUAUGAUCACAUUUAGUAGCAACAUCUACAAACCUAAAUAUAUUAUGAUCUCAUUAA
RNAcentral lists this long non-coding RNA (1187 nucleotides) under Gadus morhua (Atlantic cod). RNAcentral describes it as "lncRNA (ENSGMOG00000032757.1)". Lineage: Eukaryota; Metazoa; Chordata; Actinopteri; Gadiformes; Gadidae. The record is from RNAcentral.